UACGUAGGGCGCAAGCGUUGUCCGGAAUUAUUGGGCGUAAAGAGCUCGUAGGCGGUUUGUCGCGUCUGCUGUGAAAACCUGAGGCUUAACCUUGGGCGUGCGGGCGAUACGGGCAGACUGGAGUACUGCAGGGGAGACUGGAAUUCCUGGUGUAGCGGUGGAAUGCGCAGAUAUCAGGAGGAACACCGGUGGCGAAGGCGGGUCUCUGGGCAGUAACUGACGCUGAGGAGCGAAAGCGUGGGGAGCGAACAGG
RNAcentral lists this ribosomal RNA (253 nucleotides) under uncultured bacterium. RNAcentral's name for it is "partial 16S ribosomal RNA". It matches the Rfam family "Bacterial small subunit ribosomal RNA", at positions 524 to 776 of the family's 1533-position model. The record is from RNAcentral.